GACGAACGCUGGCGGCGUGCUUAACACAUGCAAGUCGAACGAUGGAGCCGGAGCUUGCUCUGGUGAAUUAGUGGCGAACGGGUGAGUAACACGUGAGUAACCUGCCCUUGACUCUGGGAUAACUGCUAGAAAUGGUAGCUAAUACCGGAUACGACCCUCGGAGGCAUCUCCAGGGGGUGGAAAGAAUUUCGGUCAAGGAUGGACUCGCGGCCUGUCAGCUAGUUGGUGAGGUAACGGCUCACCAAGGCGACGACGGGUAGCCGGCCUGAGAGGGGGACCGGCCACACUGGGACUGAGACACGGCCCAGACUCCUACGGGAGGCAGCAGUGGGGAAUAUUGCACAAUGGGCGCAAGCCUGAUGCAGCAACGCCGCGUGAGGGAUGACGGCCUUCGGGUUGUAAACCUCUUUUAGUAGGGAAGAAGCGAAAGUGACGGUACCUGCAGAAAAAGCACCGGCUAACUACGUGCCAGCCGCCGCAGUAA
This 484-nucleotide ribosomal RNA is filed under the name uncultured bacterium. RNAcentral describes it as "partial 16S ribosomal RNA". It matches the Rfam family "Bacterial small subunit ribosomal RNA", at positions 28 to 523 of the family's 1533-position model. The record is from RNAcentral.